AGAGUUUGAUCCUGGCUCAGGACGAACGCUGGCGGCACGCUUAACACAUGCAAGUCGAACGAGAGAAGAGGAGCUUGCUUCUCUGAUCUAGUGGCGGACGGGUGAGUAACACGUGAGCAAUCUGCCUUUCAGAGGGGGAUACCGAUUGGAAACGAUCGUUAAUACCGCAUAACAUAAUUGAACCGCAUGAUUUGAUUAUCAAAGAUUUAUCGCUGAAAGAUGAGCUCGCGUCUGAUUAGCUAGUUGGUAAGGUAACGGCUUACCAAGGCGACGAUCAGUAGCCGGACUGAGAGGUUGAUCGGCCACAUUGGGACUGAGACACGGCCCAGACUCCUACGGGAGGCAGCAGUGGGGAAUAUUGCACAAUGGAGGAAACUCUGAUGCAGCGAUGCCGCGUGAGGGAAGAAGGUUUUAGGAUUGUAAACCUCUGUCUUCAGGGACGAAAAAAGACGGUACCUGAGGAGGAAGCUCCGGCUAACUACGUGCCAGCAGCCGCGGUAAUACGUAGGGAGCGAGCGUUGUCCGGAAUUACUGGGUGUAAAGGGAGCGUAGGCGGGAUCGCAAGUCAGAUGUGAAAACUAUGGGCUUAACCCAUAAACUGCAUUUGAAACUGUGGUUCUUGAGUGAAGUAGAGGUAAGCGGAAUUCCUAGUGUAGCGGUGAAAUGCGUAGAUAUUAGGAGGAACAUCAGUGGCGAAGGCGGCUUACUGGGCUUUAACUGACGCUGAGGCUCGAAAGCGUGGGGAGCAAACAGGAUUAGAUACCCUGGUAGUCCACGCCGUAAACGAUGAUUACUAGGUGUGGGGGGACUGACCCCUUCCGUGCCGCAGCAAACGCAAUAAGUAAUCCACCUGGGGAGUACGACCGCAAGGUUGAAACUCAAAGGAAAUGACGGGGGCCCGCACAAGCAGUGGAGUAUGUGGAUUAAUUCGAAGCAACGCGAAGAACCUUACCAGGUCUUGACAUCGUAUGCAUAGCUCAGAGAUGAGUGAAAUCUCUUCGGAGACAUAUAGACAGGUGGUGCAUGGUUGUCGUCAGCUCGUGUCGUGAGAUGUUGGGUUAAGUCCCGCAACGAGCGCAACCCUUACUGUUAGUUGCUACGCAAGAGCACUCUAGCAGGACUGCCGUUGACAAAACGGAGGAAGGUGGGGAUGACGUCAAAUCAUCAUGCCCCUUAUGACCUGGGCCUCACACGUACUACAAUGGCUGUCAACAGAGGGAAGCAAAGCCGCGAGGUGGAGCGAACCCCUAAAAGCAGUCUUAGUUCGGAUUGUAGGCUGCAACCCGCCUACAUGAAGUCGGAAUUGCUAGUAAUCGCAGAUCAGCAUGCUGCGGUGAAUACGUUCCCGGGCCUUGUACACACCGCCCGUCACGCCAUGGGAGUCGGUAACACCCGAAGCCUGUAGUCUAACCGCAAGGAGGACGCAGUCGAAGGUGGGAUUGAUGACUGGGGUGAAGUCGUAACAAGGUA
RNAcentral lists this ribosomal RNA (1470 nucleotides) under metagenome. RNAcentral describes it as "bacterial SSU rRNA". It matches the Rfam family "Bacterial small subunit ribosomal RNA". The record is from RNAcentral.